CAGUCGCCGCGGGAAUACGUAGGGUGCAAGCGUUAAUCGGAAUUACUGGGCGUAAAGCGUGCGCAGACGGUUUUGUAAGUCUGUCGUGAAAUCCCCGGGCUCAACCUGGGAAUGGCGAUGGAGACUGCAAGGCUAGAAUCUGGCAGAGGGGGGUAGAAUUCCACGUGUAGCAGUGAAAUGCGUAGAUAUGUGGAGGAACACCGAUGGCGAAGGCAGCCCCCUGGGCUAAGAUUGACGCUCAUGCACGAAAGCGUGGGGAGCAAACAGGAUUAGAUACCCCAGUAGUCCCUGUCUCUUAUAC
This 301-nucleotide ribosomal RNA is filed under the name uncultured bacterium. RNAcentral's name for it is "partial 16S ribosomal RNA". It matches the Rfam family "Bacterial small subunit ribosomal RNA", at positions 509 to 807 of the family's 1533-position model. The record is from RNAcentral.